CUCUGUCGCCAUCUUGGUUGUACUGCAGUAACGUUCCAUUUCCUUGGUCACAGGUGAGCUAACUUUGAAACGUAACAUCACGUUUCGUGCGACGGCAAGCUUGGCUGGAUAAUAUCCAGAGGAAACACAAGCUGCUAGCGGUUAGCGAUGAUGUCUCUGUCCGAUUACACCAAGACAAAAACCCUGGAAGAUCGCCUUUCGCUCCUGUGGCCGACUCCACGAAGUACAACGACCUGCUGGGGAUGUCGAGAAUAUGAGCCAGGGUUUCUUAAGCAUUUCUUGGAAUAACAAACUUGCAAACAAAGAAGGUUUUUCAGUCGUAUCAUUUUCAUUGGCUGAAACACUGUGUUGUAGUUGAGUUCCUCAUAUUUGAUUGAUCUGUUUGUUAAUUUCCUGGAUGCACUUAAGGAGACACUGAGCGAAGUGUUCCUGCGCCGUGUGGAGCUCUGCAAACAGCCAUAAGAAAGCCACGGUAUAAAACAUUUAGGCUCAAGGCUCCUCUGCUUCAGAUCAUAUGCCUGGCCUGCCGUGGUCAAAUCAGAUAGAUAACCUGUGCUCUUUUAAAGAGAGACAGUGAGCCUCAUCUCGCUAUGAGGCAGGUGGAGACAGAUGCCUCAUUAUCCAUGCUGCAGGGGACAAAACAGGCCCGGCACUGGAGGACCCCCUCACUGGCGUUUAGUUUCCAGUGAGCAGACACAAGGCAGCCACAGAGCGACACGGACAGCGCUCAUCUCUGACCUUAGCGAGCGCAGGUCGCUCGCUGAGUCACAUUAAACUUUCAGAGGACCCAAAGGUCCCCGUCAGGAGUGUUAACAGCACCAUUGUUCCUGUUCCCGCUGACUCAAAGGGCCAAGUGUAACAGGGCACCCCACUGCAGUCAGGGCCACCCCCCCACUCCACUGCUGGAGUUACAGGGACAGCGACACCCUUCAAAUCCGCCCGCAGCACAUCCGAGUCUGUCAGACACCACAAAAUUACACAAACUGAAAUGACAAAAAUAAGUCUGCUUAAUGGAAUAUUGAAUAAAUUUACAUUUUUCAAUUAAGUUUUUGAGCCAUGUUGAAAUUGGUGUAUUUCGCAGAACUGCAAUGGAAACACUUCUCACAUCACAUGAGUCACAUGAGCAACAACCGGAUGUUACUACUGGCGAAAAUGACAAAGAAGACAACAGGAUGUGGUUGGAGUCAUGGCAUGUUGUUUAACGAGUAAUUACGUGAAAAGUCUUAUUCUCUUGUGAUUUUAAUCUGUUUUUUUAUUUAUUGGAAACAAAGCAAUUAUGUAGUUGUUUAUUUGACAUUAGUGGAAUAUUGUCAAAGUUUCACGCACCUUUGUAAUGGAAACGCAGAUAAUGACACCCUUCAAAUCAGCUCACAGCUCAUUGAAGUCUGUCAGACAGUAGCUGUGUUUCCUUUGAUCAGAAAACUGAUUAAACCAAUAAUAUAUUACUUUUUUUUAUAAUUAGGAUUGUAUUGUGUUUAUCUGAAUGUUAUACAAUAUAAUAAACUAAAUCUGCAACUCUAGCAUAUUAUCCGACUGCCAGAAACUGCUGCCCUGCCUGCUGUCUUUGGUCAAACAAAUUGGCACAGAAAUCACCAGUUGCAUCUGCUUAGAGAAAAGCCUGUAAGAUAAUGAGUUUAACCUCCUACUGUUUCAAUAUGAUCGUUUUAUCUGGGGUUGUUGGAUGUAAUAUUUGAAAAACAAAGUGCUUUGUGGCAGACAAAGAAAACACCUGCUUCAGAUUUUAUGACAUCACUUCAACAAGCUGCGACUUGGCAGCCGGAUGCAGCUGAAAAUGCAAAGACAUGAAUAGAAACAAUAGAGAGAGUGAUUAAAUGCUUAUUGUUUUUUCAAAUUAGGAAUUUUAAUGGGGGUGGAGUUGUUAGCUCUGCUUUUCUGCAUCAUGUUUUCAUUAUUCCCAUUCAAAGAAAAUCUACAAUUCACAAUAAUUAACUGGCCGAAUAUGGACUUGAUUGAACUAAAGAUACAAACUGUUCAAUUGUCAGAGAGACUUGUUUUAGGAAAAAAUACCUAACAGGUCAACAAACAACUGCAACUAGCGAUUAUUUUAGUAAUCAAUUAUUCUGACGAUUAAUUAAUGGGAUAAAAAAAAAA
Long non-coding RNA from Xiphophorus couchianus (Monterrey platyfish), 2112 nucleotides. RefSeq lists it as uncharacterized. The transcript has 4 exons. NCBI's taxonomy places the organism in Eukaryota, Metazoa, Chordata, Actinopteri, Cyprinodontiformes, Poeciliidae. The record is from RefSeq and is a predicted model, not a curated record.